This 2016-nucleotide long non-coding RNA is filed under the name Homo sapiens (human). RNAcentral describes it as "HSALNT0121760". The record is from RNAcentral. Lineage: Eukaryota; Metazoa; Chordata; Mammalia; Primates; Hominidae.
GACGGGGUUUCACCUUGUUAGCCAGGAUGGUCUCGAUCUCCUGACCUCGUGAUCCACCCGCCUCGGCCUCCCAAAGUGCUGGGAUUACAGGCGUGAGCCACCGCGCCCAGCCUGUAAGCCUAAAUUUUUGUGGCUGUGGGAUGGACAAGGACCCAGUCUUUAGCUGAACUAAGGAAAAGUCCUGCAACAAUAAAUUUCAGAAGUUUGAUCUUAACAGAUGAGGAGACUGAAGCCCACAGAGAUCUGAUAGAAAACAGCUGGAUGUGCUAACAGAGCAUCAGACUUGGAAUCAGGUGGAUCCUAGAUUGGCUACUUCCUAACCUCAGAAAAGUGACAUAAUGUCUAUGGUGAAGUCAUCCAUCUGAAACACAAUGCAGUGAAAUCCACUUUAAAUUUUGAUUGUGAAAGCUUUACUGAGGUUUAUUUGAUACACAAUGAUCGUAUCAUUAUGGCUACAAGAAAAGUAAUCAACAAAGUAUACACUUGGAUAAAUGUUGACAUAAGUAUAUACCUGUAAAACUAUCACUACAAUCAAGAUAAUGAACAUGUCCACGUGCUCCCAAAGUUUCUGCACAAUCCUUCCCAUCCUUCCUUGUUCUUGGAACUGCUAAUCAACUAUAGGCUGAAGUCCUGGCUGGAAUGCUUCUUGUAUCAUAUCAUUGGAGAUUGGAAGAAUUGAGAUGUUUCUUGCUGUGGUUGUCCAACCCAGCUCUAGUUUGUCAGCCAGUAUUCUGCAUGCACAAAAGUAGUGUUUAAUCUAAGAAGACUCGAGGCAAGAGAGUAAGUUAUCAUGGGUUGUCUUUCUGCUGUAAACAGGCAAUAAAAUAAGAACUCUGCUCACUAAUCACUUACCUGCCCCCCUCCUGGAUGAGACCCUGGCAAAAGCUAGAGCUACAAAGUAGAGGUGUAUCCAGCCUUUCCCAACGUACUUUAAUGUAACUACUACUACUAAUACCUUGUUAGAAAAUAAAAAUUCCAGGAUAAAUGCAAACCAAAAUGGAUUCUAGGACAGCAGGCACAAACCAGGACUCUGAGACAAAUCUGAAAGUACAGUCUACCUAGAUGGAAGGAUGAACACCCACCCGAGAGAAGGGUGCAGGGAAAGCAACAUCUUCAGGGAAACAGUUUCAGAUUCAGCUAGAAGCAGGCCCAGGUCUGGCUUCAGGCAACUGUCCCCAAGCCUGUUUCCCAGUGGACCAAUAAAUCUCCACCCUCAGACACAACUAGAGAUGCAGGCAUUUUCCAGGCACUGCUUGGCCUGGUCAGAAGAGUGGGCAGCACUUGGGCAUUCUUCCAUCGUGGCCUUUUUAGGGGUUGACUUUUUUAUAUUUUGCAGUGGCAGCAGCUCAGAAACAUUUUUCUGCUGUGAAGAUUAGCUUUCAUCUUUGCAUUGUGGUUUCUAGUUUGGAGGCCACAGAGAUAAUAAGGCUAAAGCCUUCUUCCUGUUGUCAGAAGUCUCCUUGCUUAGAAUAAACAAAGUCUCCAAGGGCACAGGGUCAUUGCAAGCAAAUUAGAGUGAUGCUCACCUGAUGGAAUGCAAAAGACCCACCCAAAAAUCUCCCACAAUGUUCUACUACCACAGCCGAUGCUUUGUGAUAACUUUGCCCUCGUAAAAUAUCGACAGCCUCUGGAAAGAUAGAAUAACCACUUCUUUUUCAUAUUUCACUGUGAACUACUUUGUCAGCCUUCUUUUCAUCAAUAUUAAAGAGGCGAGCACAUGGAGAAACCUGGAAUGAGCAUGGUUCAGAAGGAGGACUUACAGAUCAAAAGGGCAAAGACAGGGCAAAAGGGCAGACAGGUGUGCGGAGGCAGGGGGUGAGCCUGGUGAGAGCCAGGUGCCUGAGACAAGUUACCUACUGCGCAACUUUGUUAGGAGCAGUUCAACUGGAGGAAUCUGGCUGAGUAGCAUUUCUUUGUUUUUGCUCUUUGAAUUUUGGUCUUAGAAAUACUUUAGGUGAAAUUACUUGACAGUCCAUAUUUGUUGUCCCUGUGUCUGGUCUGGACUUGGCAGCAAAA